This 606-nucleotide long non-coding RNA is filed under the name Rattus norvegicus (Norway rat). Its description in RNAcentral is "long non-coding RNA NONRATT010400". The record is from RNAcentral. Lineage: Eukaryota; Metazoa; Chordata; Mammalia; Rodentia; Muridae.
GAAGAAAGAUCAAAAAACGGAAAAGAGAAGAGCAAACAGGCAUUUCCAGGAGCAAUUCCCUCACCUCCAAGGCGACUGCGCUCUAGGAAUCACAUUCCGUUCCUUUAGAAGACAAAGGCGCCCAAGAGAGCAGCGGCGCGACCCCAGGGCGUGGGCCCCGCCGCGGAGCCCGCACUGCCCGACGCCCCGACGCCGCGGACCAUGUCUCCCGCCCCUCGACCCUCCCGCAGCCUCCUGCUCCCCCUGCUCACGCUCGGCACCACGCUCGCCUCCCUCGGCUGGGCCCAAAGCAGCAACUUCAGCCCCGAAGUAAGUGAGCUCCUCCGGCCCUUCCCGGAGUUUCGCCUGCCGGGUAGGCGAGCCCGGGGGUCUCCAAGGGGACAGCCCCUGCUGAGAGCUGGGCUCUGGGGGGGCUCUGCUGCUCCAGCCUUUGUUUUUCUCCCCUCAUCUGCAAACUUGCAAGUCGAUCCAACUUUUGCCCGCUUCCAACAACCCCCUCUGCCGCCACCGACUCUGUCCCAUUCCUCCCUUCCCUGAAAGAACUCUGCAGUGGGGCCCCGGCCUCGCUUUCCCAAGCUCUGCGCGCGAUGUGGCACCAGGCGGGAG